RNAcentral lists this signal recognition particle RNA (267 nucleotides) under Eubacteriaceae bacterium. RNAcentral describes it as "signal recognition particle sRNA large type". It matches the Rfam family "Bacterial large signal recognition particle RNA". Rfam says of the family: The signal recognition particle (SRP) is a universally conserved ribonucleoprotein involved in the co-translational targeting of proteins to membranes. Archaeal SRP consists of a 7S RNA and homologues of the eukaryotic SRP19 and SRP54 proteins. Lineage: Bacteria; Bacillati; Bacillota; Clostridia; Eubacteriales; Eubacteriaceae. The record is from RNAcentral.
CCGUACUAUGCGGGGAGUCAGCGGUGCCUUGUAACCUGCAAUCCGCUACAGCAGGGCAGAUGCCCGACCGAGGUAGGUUUAUUAUAGGUUUAAGAGAAUAUAUUUUGAGGUGUUGACCAUCGGGCUCCGUGCAAUACUAUUCGGCGAACCUCGUCAGGUCCGGAAGGAAGCAGCGAUAAACUGAUAGCAGUAUGUGCCGCGGAUAUACCUGGUGCGAGCUGAUGGUAUAGACUCACUUAUAAUAAAAUAUCGAAGAAGGGCGUACGG